RNAcentral lists this ribosomal RNA (460 nucleotides) under uncultured bacterium. RNAcentral's name for it is "partial 16S ribosomal RNA". It matches the Rfam family "Bacterial small subunit ribosomal RNA", at positions 338 to 795 of the family's 1533-position model. The record is from RNAcentral.
CCUACGGGCGGCAGCAGUGAGGAAUAUUGGUCAAUGGCCGGAAGGCUGAACCAGCGAUGCCGCGUGAAGGUCAGUGCCCUAUGGGCGUUAAACUUCUGUUGUGCGGGAGCAAUAAUGGUCACGUGUGGCCAGACGAGAGUACCGUACGAAUAAGCAUCGGCUAACUCCGUGCAAGCAGCCGCGGUAAUACGGGGGAUGCAAGCGUUAUCCGGAUUAAUGGGGUUUAAAGGGUGCGUAGGCGGUGGGGUAAUUCGGCGGUGAAAUGCCCCCGCUCAACGGGGUGAAGUGCCAUUGAUACUGCCUUGCUGGAGUGCGGAUGCCGUGGGAGGAAUGUGUGGUGUAGCGGUGAAAUGCAUAGAUAUCACACAGAACACCGAUUGCGAAGGCAUCUCACGAAUCCGCGAUUGACGCUGAUGCACGAAAGCGUGGGUAUCAAACAGGAUUAGAUACCCCGGUAGUC